RNAcentral lists this ribosomal RNA (421 nucleotides) under uncultured bacterium. Its description in RNAcentral is "partial 16S ribosomal RNA". It matches the Rfam family "Bacterial small subunit ribosomal RNA", at positions 360 to 773 of the family's 1533-position model. The record is from RNAcentral.
AAUAUUGGACAAUGGGGGCAACCCUGAUCCAGCCAUGCCGCGUGUGUGAAGAAGGUCUUCGGAUUGUAAAGCACUUAAGGUGGGGAGGAAGGGCUUUAGGUAAUAACCCGGAGGUUUGAACGUUACAAACGAAAUAAGCACGGGCAACUUCUGUGCCGGCAGCCGCGGUAAUACAGAGGGUGCAAGCGUUAAUCGGAAUUACUGGGCGUAAAGCGCGCGUAGGUGGUUCAGUAAGAUGGGUGUGAAAUCCCCGGGCUUAACCUGGGAACUGCUUUCAUAACUGCUGAGCUAGAGUAUGGUAGAGGGUAGUGGAAUUUCCUGUGUAGCGGUGAAAUGCGUAGAUAUAGGAAGGAACACCAGUGGCGAAGGCGACUACCUGGACUGAUACUGACACUGAGGUGCGAAAGCGUGGGGAGCAAAC